RNAcentral lists this long non-coding RNA (229 nucleotides) under Mytilus galloprovincialis (Mediterranean mussel). The record is from RNAcentral. Lineage: Eukaryota; Metazoa; Mollusca; Bivalvia; Mytilida; Mytilidae.
AUGGUGUCUCACGCUAAAGUGCGAUGGUUGUUUGUUUGCUAAAGUACGAUGGUAUAUCACGCUAAAGUGCGAUGGACCAAUAUGAUAAGAUCGACGGUUUAAAACAUUUAAAUACAUGGAUUUAAAAAAAUAAAAAAAAUAGUCUAUUUGCAAAAGCUAGAAUGCUAAGGUAUAACAUAUGUGAUAGGCUUUAUGAUUUAUCGGUAAGCUUAUAUAGUGAUAGUUUCUA